UAGGGAAUAUUGGACAGUGGGGGCAACCCUGAUCCAGCCAUGCCGCGUGAGUGAAGAAGGCCCUCGGGUUGUAAAGCUCUUUUGUCCGGAAAGAAAAGCUUCGGGUUAAUACCCCGGGGUUCUGACGGUACCGGAAGAAUAAGCACCGGCUAACUUCGUGCCAGCAGCCGCGGUAAUACGAAGGGUGCAAGCGUUACUCGGAAUUACUGGGCGUAAAGCGUGCGUAGGUGGUUGUUUAAGUCUGAUGUGAAAGCCCUGGGCUCAACCUGGGAAUGGCAUUGGAAACUGGGCAGCUAGAGUGCGGUAGAGGGUAGUGGAAUUCCCGGUGUAGCAGUGAAAUGCGUAGAGACCGGGAGGAACAUCUGUGGCGAAGGCGACUGCCUGGACCAGCACUGACACUGAGGCACGAAAGCGUGGGGAGCAAAC
Molecule: ribosomal RNA, 426 nt
Filed under: uncultured bacterium
Lineage: Bacteria
Description: bacterial SSU rRNA
Rfam family: Bacterial small subunit ribosomal RNA
Source: RNAcentral